AACAACUAAGGAUUUUAUUGUAGGAUGUAACAAUAUUUGUCACCUGAAAUUGCAUCGUUUGUAGAAGAAAAUACAACGAAAGAGGCGCAUCCACCGCUUCCAAUGACGGCACGCCACUGGUGACAUCUGUAGCCAAUUACGGUAAUUUCUAUUUAACAUCGAAUUUACAUUCGAUAGAACAAACAUUUAUAAACAGUUUAUGCGAAAUUUAUGGAAUAAGUGC
Centruroides sculpturatus (bark scorpion) is the source of this 223-nucleotide long non-coding RNA. RefSeq lists it as uncharacterized. The record is from RefSeq and is a predicted model, not a curated record. NCBI's taxonomy places the organism in Eukaryota, Metazoa, Arthropoda, Arachnida, Scorpiones, Buthidae. The transcript has 3 exons.